AACUUAUAAAUAACUUAUUUCACAUAUAUGAUUUCAAUUUGUUCUUUAGAUACAUCACCAGAGCUUGGACCAUACACUCCGAGUUUAAUUUAAACUCCAACACUGCCCUGCCCCAUUCCAGAGUCUUUGAAGAGACAGGCAAAACAGAAAUCUGUCAUCUCCCAGCCAGACGCUCAGUUUCUACAGCUUGAAGCUGUGUGAACUGCCAGCUGCAAUCAGCAGGGAGCCUUCUCACGCAUCACUUGUAGAAGUAGGCUGGGUGCUCUGGCAGCUGCAUCAGAGAAGUGACUCUAACACGUUCGAGCACAUUCGGGCUGCCUGAAUUUUCUCCUCUCUGCUAUGGGUCCUCAUCCUCUGAGUUUGUGUUUUAAGACACAAACAAGACUGAACUUCCCUCCCAUGUGACUUGCUUUGGCCAAAGCAAUGUGGGAAUAUGCACAAAUGUUACAUCCACAUGGAAGUAUCUUAUAUCCUGUGC
This 478-nucleotide long non-coding RNA is filed under the name Dasypus novemcinctus (nine-banded armadillo). RNAcentral's name for it is "lncRNA (ENSDNOG00000051760.1)". Lineage: Eukaryota; Metazoa; Chordata; Mammalia; Cingulata; Dasypodidae. The record is from RNAcentral.